UCGAGUGGAGGGUCUGCUAUGGGCCCAAAUCUCCUACCCGUGUUUAUCUGUACCAUGUUGCUUCGGCGGAUCUGCCGGGCAGGCGCCCGCCGGAUGCCCUUUUUUAUUUAAUUAACUGCUGCCGUGCAAAGAUUGCUGUCUGAGUGAUGAAACAAAGAUUGUUCA
This 165-nucleotide unclassified non-coding RNA is filed under the name uncultured fungus. RNAcentral describes it as "sequence contains ITS1, 5.8S rRNA gene". RNAcentral also lists the same sequence under 1 other name. The record is from RNAcentral. Lineage: Eukaryota; Fungi.